This 449-nucleotide ribosomal RNA is filed under the name uncultured bacterium. RNAcentral describes it as "partial 16S ribosomal RNA". It matches the Rfam family "Bacterial small subunit ribosomal RNA", at positions 29 to 523 of the family's 1533-position model. The record is from RNAcentral.
AGCGAACGCUGGCGGCAGGCCUAACACAUGCAAGUCGAACGAAGUCUUCGGACUUAGUGGCGGACGGGUGAGUAACACGUGGGAACGUGCCUUUAGGUUCGGAAUAACUUAGGGAAACUUGUGCUAAUACCGAAUGUGCCCUUCGGGGGAAAGGUUUAUCGCCUUUAGAGCGGCCCGCGUCUGAUUAGCUAGUUGGGGAGGUAAAGGCUCACCAAGGCGACGAUCAGGAGCUGGUCUGAGAGGAUGAUCAGCCACAUUGGGACUGAGACACGGCCCAAACUCCUACGGGAGGCAGCAGUGGGGAAUCUUGCGCAAUGGGCGAAAGCCUGACGCAGCCAUGCCGCGUGAAUGAUGAAGGUCUUAGGAUUGUAAAAUUCUUUCACCGGGGACGAUAAUGACGGUACCCGGAGAAGAAGCCCCGGCUAACUUCGUGUCAGCCGCCGCAGUAA